GCGUUCGUAGCUUGGUCGUUAACUCUCUGGGGAAAUCUUUUGGCUUAACCAAAAGGCGUCUCAGGGAAAGUGGCGAUCUUGGAACCGGGAGAGGUAAGACGUACUUCGGGGGUAGGAGUGAAAUCUUGUAAUCCCCGAGGGACGACCGAUGGCGAAGGCAUCUUACCAGAACGGCUUCGACAGUGAGGGACGAAAGCUGGGGGAGCAAACCGGAUUAGAUACCCGGGUAGUCCCAGCCGUAAACGAUGUGCGUUAGGUGUGUCAGCGACCACGAGUCGCUGAGGUGCCGAAGGGAAACCGUGAAACGCACCGCCUGGGAAGUACGGUCGCAAGGCUGAAACUUAA
This 345-nucleotide ribosomal RNA is filed under the name uncultured archaeon. Its description in RNAcentral is "bacterial SSU rRNA". It matches the Rfam family "Archaeal small subunit ribosomal RNA", at positions 515 to 859 of the family's 1478-position model. The record is from RNAcentral.